GGUAGCUGUUCUGAGAGGACGAUCAGCCACACUGGGACUGAGACACGGCCCAGACUCCUACGGGAGGCAGCAGUAGGGAAUAUUGCGCAAUGGGGGAAACCCUGACGCAGCAACGCCGCGUGUGGGAUGACGGCUUUCGGGUUGUAAACCACUUUCAGUGAUGACGAAAAUGACGGUAAUCACAGAAGAAGGUCCGGCCAACUACGUGCCAGCAGCCGCGGUAACACGUAGGGACCAAGCGUUGUCCGGAUUUAUUGGGCGUAAAGAGCUCGUAGGCGGUUUUGUAAGUCGGAUGUGAAAACUCAGGGCUCAACCCUGAGACGCCAUCCGAUACUGCAAUGACUAGAGUCCGGUAGAGGAAGAUGGAAUUCCUGGUGUAGCGGUGGAAUGCGCAGAUAUCAGGAGGAACACCAAUGGCGAAGGCAGUCUUCUGGGCCGGUACUGACGCUGAGGAGCGAAAGCAUGGGGAGCAAACAGGAUUAGAUACCCUGGUAGUCCAUGCCGUAAACGUUGGGCACUAGGUGUGGGACCUUCUAACGGGUUCCGUGCCGUAGCUAACGCAUUAAGUGCCCCGCCUGGGGAGUACGGCCGCAAGGCUAAAACUCAAAUGAAUUGACGGGGA
RNAcentral lists this ribosomal RNA (622 nucleotides) under uncultured Actinomycetes bacterium. RNAcentral describes it as "bacterial SSU rRNA". It matches the Rfam family "Bacterial small subunit ribosomal RNA", at positions 282 to 919 of the family's 1533-position model. Lineage: Bacteria; Bacillati; Actinomycetota; Actinomycetes. The record is from RNAcentral.